CAGAUCCCUAUGGGAUGCAGCAGUCGAGAAUUUUUCACAAUGGGCGCAAGCCUGAUGGAGCGACGCCGCGUGGGGGAUGAAUGGCUUCGGCCCGUAAACCCCUGUCAUUUGCGAUCAAACCUUAACCUAACAUCGUGAGCUGAUAGUAGCGGAAGAGGAAGGGACGGCUAACUCUGUGCCAGCAGCCGCGGUAAUACAGAGGUCUCAAGCGUUGUUCGGAAUCACUGGGCGUAAAGCGUGCGUAGGCUGUUUCGUAAGUCGUGUGUGAAAGGCGCGGGCUCAACCCGCGGACGGCACAUGAUACUGCGAGACUAGAGUAAUGGAGGGGGAACCGGAAUUCUCGGUGUAGCAGUGAAAUGCGUAGAUAUCGAGAGGAACACUCGUGGCGAAGGCGGGUUCCUGGACAUUAACUGACGCUGAGGCACGAAGGCCAGGGGAGCGAAAGGGAUUAGAUACCCCUGUAGUCCUGGCAGUAAACGGUGCACGCUUGGUGUGCGGGGAAUCGACCCCCUGCGUGCCGGAGCUAACGCGUUAAGCGUGCCGCCUGGGGAGUACGGUCGCAAGAUUAAAACUUAAAGGAAUUGACGGG
RNAcentral lists this ribosomal RNA (589 nucleotides) under Streptomyces griseocarneus. RNAcentral describes it as "bacterial SSU rRNA". It matches the Rfam family "Bacterial small subunit ribosomal RNA", at positions 332 to 917 of the family's 1533-position model. Lineage: Bacteria; Bacillati; Actinomycetota; Actinomycetes; Kitasatosporales; Streptomycetaceae. The record is from RNAcentral.